GAUGAACGCUGGCGGCGUGCCUAAUACAUGCAAGUCGAGCGAACAGACGAGGAGCUUGCUCCUCUGACGUUAGCGGCGGACGGGUGAGUAACACGUGGAUAACCUACCUAUAAGACUGGGAUAACUUCGGGAAGCCGGAGCUAAUACCGGAUAACAUGUUGAACCGCUUGGUUCAACAGUGAAAGACGGUCUUGCUGUCACUUAUAGAUGGAUCCGCGCCGCAUUAGCUAGUUGGUAAGGUAACGGCUUACCAAGGCAACGAUGCGUAGCCGACCUGAGAGGGUGAUCGGCCACACUGGAACUGAGACACGGUCCAGACUCCUACGGGAGGCAGCAGUAGGGAAUCUUCCGCAAUGGGCGAAAGCCUGACGGAGCAACGCCGCGUGAGUGAAGAAGGUCUUCGGAUCGUAAAACUCUGUUAUUAGGGAAGGACAAAUGUGUAAGUAACUAUGCACGUCUUGACGGUACCUAAUCAGAAAGCCACGGCUAACUACGUG
Molecule: ribosomal RNA, 497 nt
Filed under: uncultured bacterium
Lineage: Bacteria
Description: partial 16S ribosomal RNA
Rfam family: Bacterial small subunit ribosomal RNA
Source: RNAcentral